Molecule: long non-coding RNA, 2493 nt
Organism: Eriocheir sinensis (Chinese mitten crab)
Lineage: Eukaryota; Metazoa; Arthropoda; Malacostraca; Decapoda; Varunidae
Exons: 5
Source: RefSeq, a predicted model, not a curated record
UGUAGCAGCGACGGGCCAAAUUUGUGGCUUUACCAUGUAGCAGCGACGGGCCAAAUUUGUGGCUUUACCGUGUAGCAGCGACGGGCCAAAUUUGUGGCUUUACCGUGUAGCAGUGACGGGCCAAAUUUGUGGCUUUACCGUGUAGCAGCGACGGGCCAAAUUUGUGGCUUUACCGUGUAGCAGCGACGGGCCAAAUUUGUGCCAUGAUGUAAACCCCCCAAAAAUAGAUGAUACAUAAUCUGAUCACAAAUGCUUUGAUAUAUAUUAUGAAAUGGUUUGUGUGAGGGGUGAUUUUUUCUCAUUUUUCUCGCUUGGAGGGACCAUUAAGAAACAUGAUCCCUGCUGCUUCCAUCACCAGGUUAAAAUAUGGAAAUAAAUGAGAAAAUUAAGUGAAACAAUUACGAAACUCACCUUAGAGAUUGUGUGGCGUGGGUGUGUGGUGGUGGUGGUGGUGGUGGUGGUGUGUGACCCUGCUGGUGUUGAGAUGCUGGUGGUGGUGUGUGGCGCUGGUGGUGUUGAGAUGCUGGGGGUGGUGUGUGGCGCUGGUGGUGUUGAGAUGCUGGUGGUGGUGUGUGGCCCUGCUGGUGUUGAGAUGCUGGUGGUGGUGUGUGGCCCUGGUGGUGUUGAGAUGCUGGUGGUGGUGUGUGGCCCUGGUGGUGUUGAGAUGCUGGUGGUGGUGUGUGGCCCUGGUGGUGUUGAGAUGCUGGUGGUGGUGUGUGGCCCUGCUGGUGUUGAGAUGCUGGGGGUGGUGUGUGGCCCUGCUGGUGUUGAGAUGCUGGUGGUGGUGUGUGGCCCUGGUGGUGUUGAGAUGCUGGGGGUGGUGUGUGGCCCUGGUGGUGUUGAGAUGCUGGUGGUGGUGUGUGGCCCUGCUGGUGUUGACUGGUGGUGGUGUGUGGCCCUGGUGGUGUGGCCCUGGUGGUGUUGAGAUGCUGGGGGCUUCAUCUUUCUCUACUUUCAUUUUAUUUCACUUCAUUUGUGUAUUUUUUUGUACUUUUUCCAUUCCUUUCUUAUUCCUGUUCUUUAUCAAUUUUUCUUCUUUUACAAACAGCAUUUCCCCUUCAGUGGUUUCCUUCAUUAACUGUAAAAACAAAAACACGCAUACAAUCGCCCCCAAAUAGUAAGGUUUUGGUUCUAUAUGGAUUGUUACGGAAGGUCUGUUUAGGAUUUUCUGCCCCCCAAAUAGUAAGGUUUCCAAUAGUAAGGUUUUGGUUCUAUAUGGAUUGUUACGGAAGGUCAUUUUAGGAUUUCCUGCCCCUCAAAUAGUAAGGUUUCCAAAUAGUAAGGUUUUGGUUCUAUAUGGAUUGUUACGGAAGGUCAUUUUAGGAUUUCCUGCCCCCCAAAUAGUAAGGUUUCCAAAUAGUAAGGUUUUGGUUCUAUAUGGAUUGUUACGGAAGGUCUGUUUAGGAUUUCCUGCCCCUCAAAUAGUAAGGUUUUGGUUCUAUAUGGAUUGUUACGGAAGGUCAUUUUAGGAUUUCCUGCCCCUCAAAUAGUAAGGUUUUGGUUCUAUAUGGAUUGUUACGGAAGGUCAUUUUAGGAUUUCCUGCCCCUCAAAUAGUAAGGUUUUGGUUCUAUAUGGAUUGUUAUGGAAGGUCUUUUUAGGUCAAUUUCCUGCCCCCCAAAUAGUAAGGUUUUGGUUCUAUAUGGAUUGUUAUGGAAGGUCUUUUUAGGUCAAUUUCCUGCCCCCCAAAUAGUAAGGUUUUGGUUCUAUAUGGAUUGUUAUGGAAGGUCUUUUUAGGUCAAUUUCCUGCCCCCCAAAUAGUAAGGUUUUGGUUCUAUAUGGAUUGUUAUGGAAGGUCUUUUUAGGUCAAUUUCCUGCCCCUCAAAUAGUAAGGUUUUGGUUCUAUAUGGAUUGUUAUGGAAGGUCUUUUUAGGUGAAUUUCCUGCCCCCCAAAUAGUAAGGUUUUGGUUCUAUAUGGAUUGUUACGGAAGGUCUGUUUAGGAUUUCCUGCCCCUCAAAUAGUAAGGUUUUGGUUCUAUAUGGAUUGUUACGGAAGGUCAUUUUAGGAUUUCCUGCCCCCCAAAUAGUAAGGUUUUGGUUCUAUAUGGAUUGUUAUGGAAGGUCUUUUUAGGUCAAUUUCCUGCCCCUCAAAUAGUAAGGUUUUGGUUCUAUAUGGAUUGUUACGGAAGGUCAUUUUAGGAUUUCCUGCCCCUCAAAUAGUAAGGUUUUGGUUCUAUAUGGAUUGUUAUGGAAGGUCUUUUUAGGUCAAUUUCCUGCCCCCCAAAUAGUAAGGUUUUGGUUCUAUAUGGAUUGUUACGGAAGGUCAUUUUAGGAUUUCCUGCCCCCCAAAUAGUAAGGUUUUGGUUCUAUAUGGAUUGUUAUGGAAGGUCUUUUUAGGUGAAUUUCCUGCCCCCCAAAUAGUAAGGUUUUGGUUCUAUAUGGAUUGUUAUGGAAGGUCUUUUUAGGUGAAUUUCCUGCCCCCCAAAUAGUAAGGUUUUGGUUCUAUAUGGAUUGUUAUGGAAGGUCUUUUUAGGUGAAUUUCCUGCCCCCCAAAU